UAUCCUAAUGAUGUCACAUAGACCCACGUGUAAUAGCCCCCUCUAGAAGUCAGCAGGGGUAUAUCCUAAUGAUGUCACAUACACCCACAUGUAAUAGCCCCCUCUAGAGGUCAGCAGGGGUAUAUCCUAAUGAUGUCACAUAGACCCACGUGUAAUAGCCCCCUCUAGAGGUCAGCAGGGGUAUUUCCUAAUGAUGUCACAUAGACCCACGUGUAAUAGCCCUCUCUAGAGGUCAGCAGGGGUAUAUCCUGAUGAUGUCACAUAGACCCAUGUGUAAUAGCCCCCUCUAGAGGUCAGCGGGGGUAUAUCCUAAUUAUGUCACAUAGACCCAUGUGUAAUAGCCCCCUCUAGAGGUCAGCGGGGGUAUAUCCUGAUGAUGUCACAUAGAACCACGUGUAAUAGCCCCCUCUAGAGGUCAGCGGGGGUAUAUCCUGAUGAUGUCACAUAGAUCCACGUGCUAUAG
Molecule: long non-coding RNA, 463 nt
Organism: Bufo bufo (common toad)
Lineage: Eukaryota; Metazoa; Chordata; Amphibia; Anura; Bufonidae
Exons: 3
Source: RefSeq, a predicted model, not a curated record